GUGGGGAAUCUUAGACAAUGGGCGCAAGCCUGAUCUAGCCAUGCCGCGUGAUCGAUGAAGGCCUUAGGGUUGUAAAGAUCUUUCAGCUGGGAAGAUAAUGACUGUACCAGCAGAAGAAGCCCCGGCUAACUCCGUGCCAGCAGCCGCGGUAAUACGGAGGGGGCUAGCGUUAUUCGGAAUUACUGGGCGUAAAGCGCACGUAGGCGGAUUGGAAAGUCAGAGGUGAAAUCCCAGGGCUCAACCUUGGAACUGCCUUUGAAACUCCCAGUCUUGAGGUCGAGAGAGGUAAGUGGAAUUCCGAGUGUAGAGGUGAAAUUCGUAGAUAUUCGGAGGAACACCAGUGGCGAAGGCGGCUCACUGGCUCGAUACUGACGCUGAGGUGCGAAAGCGUGGGGAGCAAACAGGAUUAGAUACCCUAGUAGUCC
RNAcentral lists this ribosomal RNA (425 nucleotides) under uncultured bacterium. Its description in RNAcentral is "bacterial SSU rRNA". It matches the Rfam family "Bacterial small subunit ribosomal RNA", at positions 354 to 796 of the family's 1533-position model. The record is from RNAcentral.